Penaeus vannamei (Pacific white shrimp) is the source of this 405-nucleotide non-coding RNA. The record is from RefSeq and is a predicted model, not a curated record. NCBI's taxonomy places the organism in Eukaryota, Metazoa, Arthropoda, Malacostraca, Decapoda, Penaeidae.
CCCAUGGUGUGCUCGGCGCCAAAGCCACCGGGGAGCCUCCGCUGUGCCUCUCCUACGCCGUGGUCACCGCCCUCCGCCAGGCCGUCACCGCCUUCAGGGCCGAGAACGGAGACGACUCCUGGUUCCAGAUGGACACCCCUCUGACCGUGGAGAAGAUACAACAGCUGUGCGGUGUCAAACCCGAACAGUUUGAUCUCAACGCGGCCAAGAGUUCGGACGAGGCGGCCAGAAGCUCCGCCCCUUUGGUCCGGAUCUCUCAGUGGAUGCCGGGCCGCCGCUUCCUGUAGACGGGCUCUUCCUCGCGCUCAAGGGGCUCCGGGCGGCGGGACACCUUUGUAUCUGAUCUGAUCGCGACUCUGGGAAUGAUUUAUCGGUCCUUCUAUAUGUGGACCUGUGUAUGAAUAC